RNAcentral lists this ribosomal RNA (253 nucleotides) under Escherichia coli. Its description in RNAcentral is "partial 23S ribosomal RNA". It matches the Rfam family "Bacterial large subunit ribosomal RNA", at positions 2110 to 2362 of the family's 2925-position model. The record is from RNAcentral. Lineage: Bacteria; Pseudomonadati; Pseudomonadota; Gammaproteobacteria; Enterobacterales; Enterobacteriaceae.
CUUGACACUGAACAUUGAGCCUUGAUGUGUAGGAUAGGUGGGAGGCUUUGAAGUGUGGACGCCAGUCUGCAUGGAGCCGACCUUGAAAUACCACCCUUUAAUGUUUGAUGUUCUAACGUGGACCCGUAAUCCGGGUUGCGGACAGUGUCUGGUGGGUAGUUUGACUGGGGCGGUCUCCUCCUAAAGAGUAACGGAGGAGCACGAAGGUUGGCUAAUCCUGGUCGGACAUCAGGAGGUUAGUGCAAUGGCAUAA